GCCGGGCACGGUGGCUUGUGCCUGUAAUCCAAGCGCCGGGGAGGCUGAGGCUGGUGGACGGCUUGAGCCUGGGGGUUCUGGGCUGCAGCGAGCUGUGCCGAGCGGGCGUCCGCGCUAAGGCCGGCAUCGAUAUGGUGGUCCUGGGGGAGCCGGGGGUCACCAGGUCGCCUAAGGAGGGGUGAACCGGCCCAGGUCGGAGACGGAGCAGGUCAAAGCUCCCGUGCCGGUCAGUAGCGGGAUGGCGCCUGUGAACAGUCCCUGUAGCACAGCCUGGGCGAGAGAGCGGGACCCAGUCUCUU
Molecule: signal recognition particle RNA, 299 nt
Filed under: Aquila chrysaetos chrysaetos
Lineage: Eukaryota; Metazoa; Chordata; Aves; Accipitriformes; Accipitridae
Description: Metazoan signal recognition particle RNA (ENSACCG00020001962.1)
Rfam family: Metazoan signal recognition particle RNA
About the family: The signal recognition particle (SRP) is a universally conserved ribonucleoprotein. It is involved in the co-translational targeting of proteins to membranes.
Source: Rfam by way of RNAcentral